RNAcentral lists this ribosomal RNA (1695 nucleotides) under Triticum aestivum (bread wheat). RNAcentral's name for it is "partial small subunit ribosomal RNA". The record is from RNAcentral. Lineage: Eukaryota; Viridiplantae; Streptophyta; Magnoliopsida; Poales; Poaceae.
AUGCCUCUGGUUCCAGCAGACUAUAAGAAUGUCAUACGUCCUCUAUUUGACAAAGUAAGACCAUGUGUUGUUUCUAUUGAAGCAUAUGCCAAGGCUGUCAUCAAAGAGGAAACAUUGCCAUUGGCAGAUGAACAUAAGGAUGUCACAAACGUCAAAAAGGAGGAAAACAAAUGGAAAGCUGCUGGGACCGGAUUUGUAGUUCACUGCAGCAAUAAUUUCACGGUUGUAACAGUGCAUACAUCUUUCAAGUUCCAAGGCCAAAACGCAGUUGUGAAGUUCUCGGAUGGAACGGAAGCUACCGAUACAAGGGUGAUUAAACUGAAAGGGCCCAUGAACCUUAUUGUGGCAAAUAUUCCUCAUGGUGAUUGGAAAGCAGUUCGGUAUGACCAAAUCAGAGAGGACGGGUAUUCUCAGAUUGUGCUCUCCAUUUUCUCCCUAAUGUAUUGGCGAUUACCGUGUGUAUGUCGUAUUAUUUCGCCAAGAUGCACUGCUGUCCUUGCCAAUGGCCGCAAGGUCCCUGGAAGUGAGCAGACCUUCAGCUUCAACCUUCCAGUGGCAGGAAAACAACGGAAAGACGAAUAUGAAAAUCAUGAUAAGCAGUUUUGUUACUUGAGAGAUUACGUUCUUGGAGCUCCGGUCUUCGAUACAUAUGGAAAACUUGUUGGAUUUGUUAAUCAAUGUGGAAAGGCUUUUGACUUUAAGUUCGGCGUGAGAUCAGAAUAUUUACAAGAUGCAUUGUAUAAGUGGUUGGCGGGGAAACAAUGGAAGGAUGUACUCAACCCAAGGUCGCAGAUUUGGCAUCCAGACGACAAGGAGCACGUUGAUUCGUCAGUGGGACUGAGGGGAGGUGUAGGGGGUUUGCCGCAUGUGCCUCUGGAUCAAGAAGACAACUUUCAGUUUGAUUCGUCGGUGGGACUAAGGGGAGGUGUAGGGGGUAGGGGGUUUGCCGUAUGUGCCUCUGUAGAAGAAGACAACUUUCAGUUUGAUUCGUUAAUAGCUAGUGGCGACAAGGAAAAGGAAUCUGAAGGAGAGAAAGUGGUGGUGGUGGACAAGGUCAGCUCAGACAUUGUGGAUCUUCGUACCAACAAUUUCGUAGCAGACGGUGUUAUCACCAAGUACUUGAAACAUUUAUCUUCUACUAAGCUCAAUAAUGAUGAUGAAGUGUAUCUUGCUGAUGCAACGGUGUCUUCGGCGUAUGCUCAAGAUGCUUCAGCCAUCAAUGUCGAGUUACUACGACGCAGUCGCCUUGUGCUCUUGCCGGUUAACAACAACACCAAUUUUGGGCGGGCAGACAUGGGCACACAUUGGUCUUUAUUCCUUAUUGAUGCCAUCAACGGGCCACCACCACAGUUCUACCACAUGGAUUCUCUGGAUGGACUAAACCGUUCUGCUGCAGAUCGUCUUGCUACAGCACUCGGUGCAGUCUUCCCUGACGCACCCGGUGUUGUGCAGGUGUCCACACCAAGACAAAAAAAAUCGUAUGAUUGUGCAAUAUAUGUCAUGGCGUUGGCAAAAAGUAUCAUUACAUGGUGGAAAAGCAGAACCGAGUCCACAAAGCAUUGGAUGCAAAUGAUACAGACAGACGUGACCGAAGAGAAUGUCCAUACCUUGAGACACGACUUUGCUGAUCGACUAGAGCAGGAUGAAAAAAAUCAAAAGGUUGAGUGCAAUAAGGAGGAGAAAGCCAAGGAGUGA